GACAGAGGUGCCAAGCGUUAGGCGGAAUCACUGGGCUUAAAGCGUGUGUAGGCGGAUGUCUAAGUACCUUGUGAAAUCCCACGGCUCAACCGUGGAACUGCUUGGUAUACUGGAUGUCUUGAGCCAUCUAGGGGCUACCGGAACAAAUGGUGGAGCGGUGAAAUGCGUAGAUAUCGUCUGGAACGCCAAAGGUGAAAACAGACUGCUGGGGCUGUGCUGACGCUGAGACACGAAAGCCAGGGGAGCGAACGGG
This 253-nucleotide ribosomal RNA is filed under the name uncultured bacterium. RNAcentral's name for it is "partial 16S ribosomal RNA". It matches the Rfam family "Bacterial small subunit ribosomal RNA", at positions 524 to 776 of the family's 1533-position model. The record is from RNAcentral.